AGACCCUAUCCUGUUUUGUCUGUUGUGGUGAGUUUUAUAUUUACUUUGAUUGCGUUACAUGAUGAGAGCCUAAAAGGACCACUAUUUCAUUUUUAUAGGUGGGUAUCAACUAAUAGCAGUUACUAAGGUAUUUAGAUUUUUGUAGAUAGCAAUCAGAAUCUUGUAUUUACCUCUCUCUUAUCCCUUUGCAGUACAUGUUGCAAUAUUUUUUUCCUUUUACUUGGACUUGCUAGUGCUCUUUAUGAGUGUAACAUAAGUGGCUGUCGUUGCAGGGGAAGGAUGAAAUAAUCUGACCCCUUCCCCCAUCUCCACUACGGGGAGGUUCCUAGCCACUUGGUUUGCUUAAGCACAAUGCCAGUAUCCAGUCCCUCAACGCAUCUCAUCUGUGCAGAUUCCAUACUUGAUAAAACCCUUAUUUUAAAUAGAAGAAACCAGCUGGA
Molecule: long non-coding RNA, 440 nt
Organism: Dermochelys coriacea (leatherback sea turtle)
Lineage: Eukaryota; Metazoa; Chordata; Testudines; Dermochelyidae
Exons: 2
Source: RefSeq, a predicted model, not a curated record